CCUACGGGUGGCUGCAGUCGAGAAUCAUUCACAAUGGGGGAAACCCUGAUGGUGCGACGCCGCGUGGGGGAAUGAAGGUCUUCGGAUGGUAAACCCCUGUCAUGUGGGAGCAAAUUACAAUGAUAGUACCACAAGAGGAAGAGACGGCUAACUCUGGGCCAGCAGCCGCGGUAAUACAGAGGGCGCAAGCGUUGUUCGGAAUGACUGGGCGUAAAGCGUGCGUAGGCUGUUUCGUAAGUCGUGUGUGAAAGGCGCGGGCUCAACCCGGGGACGGCACAUGAUACUGCGAGACUAGAGUGAUGGAGGGGGAAGCGGAAUUCUCGGUGGAGCAGUGAAAUGCGUAGAUA
RNAcentral lists this ribosomal RNA (347 nucleotides) under uncultured bacterium. RNAcentral describes it as "partial 16S ribosomal RNA". It matches the Rfam family "Bacterial small subunit ribosomal RNA", at positions 338 to 696 of the family's 1533-position model. The record is from RNAcentral.